ACCAAAUAGAUACCCAGGUAGUCCACGCCGUAAACGAUGAAUACUAGGUGUAGGGGUUGUCAUGACCUCUGUGCCGCCGCUAAACGCAUUAAGUAUUCCGCCUGGGGAGUACGGUCGCAAGAUUAAAACUCAAAGGAAUUGACGGGGGCCCGCACAAGCAGCGGAGCAUGUGGUUUAAUUCGAAGCAACGCGAAGAACCUUACCUAGACUUGACAUCUCCUGCAUUACUCUUAAUCGAGGAAGUCUCUUCGGAGACAGGAUGACAGGUGGUGCAUGGUUGUCGUCAGCUCGUGUCGUGAGAUGUUGGGUUAAAGUCCCGCAACGAGCGCAACCCUUAUUGUUAGUUGCCAUCAUUAAGUUGGGCACUCUAGCGAGACUGCCCGGGG
Molecule: ribosomal RNA, 386 nt
Filed under: uncultured bacterium
Lineage: Bacteria
Description: bacterial SSU rRNA
Rfam family: Bacterial small subunit ribosomal RNA
Source: RNAcentral